RNAcentral lists this ribosomal RNA (416 nucleotides) under uncultured bacterium. RNAcentral's name for it is "bacterial SSU rRNA". It matches the Rfam family "Bacterial small subunit ribosomal RNA", at positions 954 to 1364 of the family's 1533-position model. The record is from RNAcentral.
GCAUAACGCGAAGAACCUUACCGAGGCUUGACAUCUUUCUGACCGCCUGGGAAACCAGGUCUUCUUCCUUCGGGAAGACGGAAGGACAGGUGGUGCAUGGUUGUCGUCAGCUCGUGUCGUGAGAUGUUGGGUUAAGUCCCACAACGAGCGCAACCCUUGUCCUUAUUUGCCAGCCUGUUUACAGGCGUACUUUAAGGAGACUGCCGUAGAUAAUACGGAGGAAGGUGGGGAUGACGUCAAAUCCUCAUGCCCCUUACGUCCCGGGCUACACACGUGCUACAAUGGUCUGUACAGAGGGUAGCCAAGAAGCAAUUCGGAGCCAAUCCCAAAAAGCAGGCCCCAGUUCGGAUUGGAGGCUGCAACUCGCCUCCAUGAAGUCGGAAUCGCUAGUAAUCGCGGAUCAGCACGCCGCGGUG